CAUUACAGAGUUCGUGCCCUCCGGGGUAGAUCUCCCACCCGUGACAUCUCACACCUUUGUUGCUUUGGCGGGCAGCUGCCCGCCAGAGGCCUCAACUCCGUAUUUCAGUGUCGUCAGAGGACUAUUUAAUAGUUAAAACUUUCAACAACGGAUCUCUUGGUUCUGGCAUCGAUGAAGAACGCAGCGAAAUGCGAUAAGUAAUGUGAAUUGCAGAAUUUAGUGAAUCAUCGAAUCUUUGAACGCACAUUGCGCCCUAUGGCAUUCCGUAGGGCAUGCCUGUUCGAGCGUCAUUACAACCCUCAAGCGUGGCUUGGUCUUGGGCCCGCCCUCUGGGCGGGCCCCAAAUACAGUGGCAGUGCUUUCAGGCCCUGAGCGUAGUACAUCUUCCGCUAUGGGGCCUUGGGAGUGGCGAGCCAGCAACUUAUUCCUACAGGUUGACCUCGG
This 444-nucleotide ribosomal RNA is filed under the name Chlorociboria argentinensis. RNAcentral describes it as "eukaryotic LSU rRNA". The stretch from base 137 to 290 matches the Rfam family "5.8S ribosomal RNA". The record is from RNAcentral. Lineage: Eukaryota; Fungi; Ascomycota; Leotiomycetes; Helotiales; Chlorociboriaceae.